AUCCGAACCUUGCUUACGGCGAUGGGAGUGGUUCGAGCGAGGUUCCUAUUCCGGAUUUCGAUGAUUUCUUUGCUGAUCUGCCACCGGGUUUCGAUGCUCCUCCUCCUACGAAAGAAUCGGCGAGGCCGAGAGUCGUUGAGGAAGGAUCACGCAUCAUUAAUGGGGUUAGUUUUUUGAGAAUUUUUUGGUGAUUGUCCUAUGUAUAUAUAUAUUUAUAGCAUGUCAAUCGAUUUUUGCAGGGCCUGAGCUUGCUGGGCUCGGCCAUUGAGG
Molecule: long non-coding RNA, 270 nt
Filed under: Brassica napus (rape)
Lineage: Eukaryota; Viridiplantae; Streptophyta; Magnoliopsida; Brassicales; Brassicaceae
Description: long non-coding RNA (BNAP_LNC020296)
Source: RNAcentral